GUGGGGAAUAUUGGACAAUGGGCGAAAGCCUGAUCCAGCCAUGUCGCGUGUGUGAAGAAGGUCUUCGGAUUGUAAAGCACUUUAAGUUGGGAGGAAGGGCAGUAAGUUAAUACCUUGCUGUUUUGACGUUACCGACAGAAUAAGCACCGGCUAACUUCGUGCAAGCAGCCGCGGUAAUACGAAGGGUGCAAGCGUUAAUCGGAAUUACUGGCGUAAAGCGCGCGUAGGUGGUUUGGUAAGUUGGAGGUGAAAUCCCCGGGCUCAACCUGGGAACUGCCUCCAAAACUGCAUGACUAGAGUACGGUAGAGGGUAGUGGAAUUUCCUGUGUAGCGGUGAAAUGCGUAGAUAUAGGAAGGAACACCAGUGGCGAAGGCGACUACCUGGACUGAUACUGACACUGAGGUGCGAAAGCGUGGGGAGCAAACAGGAUUAGAAACCCUGGUAGUCC
RNAcentral lists this ribosomal RNA (449 nucleotides) under uncultured bacterium. RNAcentral's name for it is "partial 16S ribosomal RNA". It matches the Rfam family "Bacterial small subunit ribosomal RNA", at positions 354 to 796 of the family's 1533-position model. The record is from RNAcentral.